GGAAGAAUGGUCUAGUGGUUGAGAUAUUAACCUUGGACUUGAAAGAACUGGGCUUAAGUCCCAGUUUUGCCA
This 72-nucleotide transfer RNA is filed under the name Manacus vitellinus (golden-collared manakin). It matches the Rfam family "tRNA". Rfam says of the family: Transfer RNA (tRNA) molecules are approximately 80 nucleotides in length. Their secondary structure includes four short double-helical elements and three loops (D, anti-codon, and T loops). The record is from Rfam by way of RNAcentral. RNAcentral also lists the same sequence under 1 other name. Lineage: Eukaryota; Metazoa; Chordata; Aves; Passeriformes; Pipridae.